UCCACCCCAGACAGCUGCAGGGUGCUUGAGAACCCCCUGCCCCGACUGACCCUCUUGCUACAUUUUGCCACUGCCUCCCAGAAAUGGCGGCAGGCCCCAACUGCCAGCCGCCAUGUUUGGGCCAGCACGUGGCACUCAGAAUCCUGUCGCCAUGGCCACCCAACUGCCCUCAAUGCAGUCCCUCAGCUGACCCAGCGGGAGAAAGCUGCCCACUAGAGUCUCUGAAAGAGAUACUUGUUAUUUCUUGUGAUUUCUGAGGACAGGAUGGAGCAGCCACCUUUAAAGAAGAGGCGGCCGCUGGAAGAGGCUGAUAACAUCGAGCCCAUGGAGGUGGACCUGCCUGGCAGCAACGAAGAGCCCAUGGAGGUGGAUCCACCUAUGGAGGACAACCUGAUGGAAGUGGAUCCACCUCCAUCGGGGCACACUGGCCAUCACUCCAUUGCUGCCAGGCCGACCAGGAAGAGGUCGCGCCCCAAAUAUCACCGCAGGGGUGCCAGGAUCCGUCCACCUCCUGCGAAAUGGCCGCCUCGAUGCCGGCGCUGAUCCUCUCGUCCUCCAAGGCUCCUACGAGCCCUUCCUUCCCAUCCCCCUCCCUUGUCUUUUCCCAAGUCCUCUCAUCUCUUCUGCACCAAGUCCUGAGGAAGAGGGCAGGGCACGGACUGCCAUCCUUGGAGCUGCUGUGCCGGGGCAGUGGGAUGAGUCCAGCAGAGGGACCACAAACAUGAUGGGGGUGUGAGGAUCCUGUAAGUUUACCCUUAGCCGGGAAGGAGAGCCCAACGCAGGGCCAUCCCAUGGUCUCACACAGAGCCUCCAUUUCCUGAUCAUCCAUUUCUUUUGACAGCCAUGGCUCCCAUGAGCCCAUCCUUCCUGUCCUCCUCCCUCAUCCCUGCCCAAGAUGGGAGGAAAAGUCAAAGAAGGGGCAGAGGCAGCUGCUCCUGUGGAGAACCACGCUUUGGUUUGGACACGAAGAAAUGCUGAACUUCAGCAAGAAGAUCCAGUCCAGAUGCUUCCCUUGGACUUCUCUUUCAAGACAGGACAAUCAACAACUUAAAACAUCAAUACAAAAUAAUAAGAGUCAAAACCACAGAACAAAAUAAACACAUUUUCUUUUUUAAAAAACAA
Long non-coding RNA from Gallus gallus (chicken), 1122 nucleotides. RefSeq lists it as uncharacterized. NCBI's taxonomy places the organism in Eukaryota, Metazoa, Chordata, Aves, Galliformes, Phasianidae. The record is from RefSeq and is a predicted model, not a curated record. The transcript is spliced from 2 exons.